RNAcentral lists this ribosomal RNA (401 nucleotides) under uncultured bacterium. RNAcentral's name for it is "bacterial SSU rRNA". It matches the Rfam family "Bacterial small subunit ribosomal RNA", at positions 357 to 774 of the family's 1533-position model. The record is from RNAcentral.
AGGAAUAUUGGUCAAUGGGGGGAACCCUGAUGCAGCGACGCCGCGUGAGGGAAGAAGGGUUUUGGAUUGUAAACCUCUGUCCUUGGUAAAGAAGCAAGACGGUAGCCAAGGAGGAAGCCACGGCUAACUACGUGCCAGCAGCCGCGGUAAUACGUAGGUGGCAAGCGUUGUCCGGAAUUACUGGGUGUAAAGGGAGCGUAGGCGGUUAUGCAAGUUGAAUGUGAAAUCUAUCGGCUCAACUGAUAGGCUGCGUUCAAAACUGUAUAUCUUGAGUGAAGUAGAGGCAGGCGGAAUUCCUAGUGUAGCGGUGAAAUGCGUAAAUAUUAGGAGGAACACCAGUGGCGAAGGCGGCCUGCUGGGCUUUAACUGACGCUGAGGCUCGAAAGCGUGGGUAGCAAACA